UUCUUCUGAUAUCCAAUGCUUUUAUCUUACAGCUUUAGGCACUGAUACAUUAAGCCUAAGUAUUAUAAAUACAAUUCUAAUUAUUAAUAGGUAUUUUGCAAUCUAAUAAUUUUCCGAAUGCUUUACGGCAAAAGAUUGCGACCUAAAAGAGUUCCUGUUACCUACCCCGCGAGUACGUUGUAAAGCAUGAGUUCUGCGGUUAGCACCUUCUCUCUCCAAAACAAAGAGAAUAUAAUAACUACGUUUGCUCCAUAAGGCCACCAGUCGCCACUAUUAAAUCCCGCCAGGGAUGCAACUAUGUCAAUGACUUAAUUUUGUUUUCGUAUAAUUUGAAUUUACAAUCAUAUUUAUAAUACUUGGACAGAAUUAUCAGUACUAAAUAUUUAGGGAUGAAAUAAAAUAAAAGCCUUAGUGCAUAGCAUAUA
This is a long non-coding RNA of Manduca sexta (tobacco hornworm), 425 nucleotides long. RefSeq lists it as uncharacterized. NCBI's taxonomy places the organism in Eukaryota, Metazoa, Arthropoda, Insecta, Lepidoptera, Sphingidae. The transcript has 2 exons. The record is from RefSeq and is a predicted model, not a curated record.